Molecule: ribosomal RNA, 508 nt
Filed under: uncultured bacterium
Lineage: Bacteria
Description: partial 16S ribosomal RNA
Rfam family: Bacterial small subunit ribosomal RNA
Source: RNAcentral
GACGAACGCUGGCGGCGUGCCUAAUACAUGCAAGUCGAACGCUUCUUUCCUCCCGAGUGCUUGCACUCGAUUGGGAAGGGGAGGGGCGGACGGGGGAGUAACACGUGGGUAACCUACCCAUCAGCGUGGGAUAACACUUGCAAACAGGUGCUAAUACCGCAUAACAGUUUAUGCAGCAUGGCAUAAGAGUGAAACGGGCUCUCGGGGGUGGUUGCGCGCUGGAUCCGCGCUGCAUUAGCUAGUUGGUGAGGUAACGGCUCACCAAGGCAACGAUGCAUAGCCGACCUGAGAGGGUGAUCGACCACACUGGGACUGAGACACGGCCCAGACUCCUACGGGAGGCAGCAGUAGGGAAUCUUCGGCAAUGGACGAAAGUCUGACCGAGCAACGCCGCGUGAGUGAAGAAGGUCUUCGGAUCGUAAAACUCUGUUGUUAGAGAAGAACAAGUACGUUAGUAACUGAACGUCCCCUGACGGUAUCUAACCAGAAAGCCACGGCUAACUACGUG